CAUCUUAAACCAGCAAAGGACCAGCAUAAACCAGCAAAGGGCCAUCUUAAACCAGCAAACGACCAGCAUAAACGAGCAAAGGACCAUCUUAAACCAGCAAAGGACCAGCAUAAACCAGCAAAGGACCAUCUUAAACCAGCAAAGGGCCAGCAAAAGUCAGCAAAGUGCCAGCAGAAACCAGCAAAGGACCAGCAAAUUACCAUCUUAAACCAGCAUAAUCUAGCAAAUUACCAUCUUAAACCAGUAAAGGACCAGCAUAAACCAGCAAGGGACCAGCAAAGAACAACAAAUUACCAUCUUAAACCAGCAAAGGACCAUCUUAAACCAGCAAAGGACCAGCAUAAACCAGCAAAGGACCAUCUUAAACCAGCAAAUGACCAUCUUAAACCAGCAAAGGACCAUCUUAAACCAGCAAAGGACCAGCAUAAACCAGCAAAGGACCAUCUUAAACCAGCAAAUGACCAGCAAAAACCAGCAAAGGACCAUUUUAAACCAGCAAAGGACCAGCAUAAACCAGCAAAGGACCAUCUUAAACCAGCAAUGGACCAGCAAAAACCAGCAAAGGGCCAGCAAAAGUCAGCAAAGUGCCAGCAGAAACCAGCAAAGGACCAGCAAAUUACCAUCUUAAACCAGCAUAAUCUAGCAGAUUACCAUCUUAAACCAGUAAAGGACCAGCAUAAACCAGCAAAGGACCAGCAAAAAACAACAAAUUACCAUCUUAAACCAGCAAAGGACCAGCAAAAACCAGCAAGGGCCGUGUUAAACCAGCAAAGGACCAGCAAAGGCCAGCAUAAACCAGCAAAAGACCAGCAAAUACCAGCAAAGGGCCAUGUUAAACCAGCAAAGGACCAGCAUAAACCAGCAAAGGGCCAGCAAAAACCAGCAAAUUACCAUCUUAAACCAACAAAGGACCAGCUUAAACCAACAAAUGACCAUCUUAAACCAGCAUCAUAAACAUACCUAAGCAGCAUAUGCUGUUUUUUUCAACAGGGAGAUGACACCGAAAUCAUUC
This 1012-nucleotide long non-coding RNA is filed under the name Carassius auratus (goldfish). Its description in RNAcentral is "lncRNA (ENSCARG00000005083.1)". The record is from RNAcentral. Lineage: Eukaryota; Metazoa; Chordata; Actinopteri; Cypriniformes; Cyprinidae.